This 424-nucleotide ribosomal RNA is filed under the name Verrucomicrobiota bacterium. Its description in RNAcentral is "Verrucomicrobia bacterium partial 16S ribosomal RNA". It matches the Rfam family "Bacterial small subunit ribosomal RNA", at positions 355 to 776 of the family's 1533-position model. Lineage: Bacteria; Pseudomonadati; Verrucomicrobiota. The record is from RNAcentral.
UGAGGAAUAUUGGUCAAUGGGCGAGAGCCUGAACCAGCCAAGUAGCGUGCAGGAUGACGGCCCUAUGGGUUGUAAACUGCUUUUAUAUGGGAAUAAAGUGAGGGACGUGUCCCUUAUUGCAUGUACCAUACGAAUAAGGACCGGCUAAUUCCGUGCCAGCAGCCGCGGUAAUACGGAAGGUCCGGGCGUUAUCCGGAUUUAUUGGGUUUAAAGGGAGCGUAGGCUGUCUAUUAAGCGUGUUGUGAAAUAUACCGGCUCAACCGGUGGCUUGCAGCGCGAACUGGUCGACUUGAGUAUGCAGGAAGUAGGCGGAAUUCAUGGUGUAGCGGUGAAAUGCUUAGAUAUCAUGACGAACUCCGAUUGCGCAGGCAGCUUACGGGAGCGCAACUGACGCUGAAGCUCGAAGGUGCGGGUAUCGAACAGG